AAAGGUCAAGUUAAUAAGGGCAAAGGGUGGAUGCCUUGGCACUAGGAGCCGAAGAAGGACGUGGUAAGCUGCGAAAAGUCUCGGGGAGCUGCAAGCAAGCAUUGAUCCGGGAAUGUCCGAAUGGGGAAACCCACUUGGAGUAAUGUCCAAGUAUCUAGUACUGAAUUCAUAGGUACUAGAAGGUAGACCGAGGGAACUGAAACAUCUAAGUACCUCGAGGAAGAGAAAGAAAAAUCGAUUCCCUCAGUAGCGGCGAGCGAAAGGGGAAGAGCCCAAACCUACGACAAUUGUUGUAGGGGUUGAGGAGAUGGUCACAAAGAAAGAGGAACUUGUAGAAGAAGAGAGUUGGAAAGCUCCACCAGAGAGGGUAAAAGUCCCGUACUUGAAACGAAAGAAACUUUCGACCAUGAUCCAGAGUACCACGGGACACGUGAAACCCUGUGGGAAGCAGGGGGGACCACCCCCCAAGGCUAAAUACUACCUAGUGACCGAUAGCGCAUAGUACCGUGAGGGAAAGGUGAAAAGAACCCCGGGAGGGGAGUGAAAAAGAACCUGAAACCUUUUGCCUACAAGCUGUGGAAGCGCUUUAUACGCGUGACCGCGUACUUUUUGUAGAACGGGCCAACGAGUUAUGGUAUGUAGCAAGGUUAAGGACUGAAGGUCUGGAGCCGAAGGGAAACCGAGUCUUAAUAGGGCGAUUAGUUACAUGCUAUAGACCCGAAACCGUGCGAUCUACCCAUGGGCAGGAUGAAGCGGAAGUAAAAUUUCGUGGAGGUCCGAACCAGUUGACGUUGAAAAGUCAUUGGAUGACCUGUGGGUAGCGGAGAAAUUCCAAUCGAGCUCGGAGAUAGCUGGUUCUCGCCGAAAUAGCUUUAGGGCUAGCCUUGGGAAAAGAGUGACGGAGGUAGAGCACUGAAUGGUCUAGGGGCCUUCACCGGUUACCAAAACCUAUCAAACUCCGAAUGCCGUUAACUUAUAACCAGGAGUCAGACUACGAGUGAUAAGAUCCGUAGUCAAGAGGGAAAGAACCCAGAUCAUCAGCUAAGGUCCCCAAGUAUACGUUAAGUGGAAAAGGAUGUGGAGUUGCACAGACAACCAGGAUGUUGGCUUAGAAGCAGCCACUCAUUUAAAGAGUGCGUAAUAGCUCACUGGUCGAGUGAUUCUGCGCCGAAAAUGUCCGGGGCUCAAACGUAUCACCGAAGCUAUGGAUGCUGACGUAAUCAUUAGUACUUUCAAACGUAUCUAUGAGGGUAGUAAUGAUUACGUCAGCGUGGUAGGCGAGCAUUCUAUGUGGGUAGAAGCUGUACCGUAAGGAGCAGUGGACUGCAUAGAAGAGAGAAUGUUGGCAUGAGUAACGAGAGGUGAGUGAGAAUCUCACCCGUCGAAAACCUAAGGUUUCCUGAGGAAGGUUCGUCCACUCAGGGUAAGUCGGGGCCUAAGCCGAGGCAGAAAUGCGUAGGCGAUGGACAACAGGUUGAAAUUCCUGUACCACCUAAAUUCGUCUGAGAGACGGGGUGACACAGAAGGAUAGGUCUAGCCCACCGUUGGUUGAGUGGGUCUAAGCCAGUAGGGAGCUAAGGCAGGCAAAUCCGCCAUAGUAUAAUCCUGAGAGGUGAUGGGGAGCGAAAAAUAAGUAGCGAAGAGAUUGAUUCCACACUGUCGAGAAAAGCCUCUAUCGAGAAUGCUAGGUGCCCGUACCGCAAACCGACACAGGUAGGUGAGGAGAGAAUCCUAAGACGAGCGGGAGAACCAUUGUUAAGGAACUCGGCAAAAUGACCCCGUAACUUCGGGAGAAGGGGUGCCGAAGGGUGUGAAGGCUAUACGCCGUAAGCAUCAAUCGGUCGCAGAGAACAGGCCCAAGCGACUGUUUAGCAAAAACAUAGGUCUCUGCAAAGUCGAAAGACGAAGUAUAGGGGCUGACGCCUGCCCGGUGCUGGAAGGUUAAGGGGAAGUGUAAAUCGUAAGAUGAAGCACAGAACUUAAGCCCCAGUAAACGGCGGCCGUAACUAUAACGGUCCUAAGGUAGCGAAAUUCCUUGUCGGGUAAGUUCCGACCCGCACGAAAGGCGUAACGAUUUGGGCGCUGUCUCAACAAUGGACCCGGUGAAAUUGUAAUACCAGUGAAGAUGCUGGUUACCUGCGACAGGACGGAAAGACCCCGUGGAGCUUUACUGUAGCUUGACAUUGGAUUUUGGUACUACAUGUACAGGAUAGGUGGGAGACAGAGAACCUAGGACGCCAGUUUUGGGGGAGUCGACGUUGGGAUACCACUCUUGUAGUACUGAAGUUCUAACCAUGAACCGUGAAGCCGGUUUUGGGACACUGUCAGGUGGGCAGUUUGACUGGGGCGGUCGCCUCCUAAAGAGUAACGGAGGCGCCCAAAGGUUCCCUCAGCACGGUCGGAAAUCGUGCAAAGAGUGUAAAGGCAAAAGGGAGCUUGAUUGCGAGACUUACAAGUCGAGCAAGGACGAAAGUCGGGCUUAGUGAUCCGGUGGUACCGAGUGGAAGGGCCAUCGCUCAACGGAUAAAAGCUACCCCGGGGAUAACAGGCUUAUCUCCCCCAAGAGUCCACAUCGACGGGGAGGUUUGGCACCUCGAUGUCGGCUCAUCACAUCCUGGGGCUGUAGUAGGUCCCAAGGGUUGGGCUGUUCGCCCAUUAAAGUGGUACGCGAGCUGGGUUCAGAACGUCGUGAGACAGUUCGGUCCCUAUCCGUCGCAGGCGCAGGAAAUUUGAGAGGAGCUGUCCUUAGUACGAGAGGACCGGGAUGGACGUACCUAUGGUGUACCAGUUGUUCUGCCAAGAGCACCGCUGGGUAGCUAUGUACGGAAGGGAUAAGUGCUGAAGGCAUCUAAGCACGAAGCCCCCCUCAAGAUAAGAUUUCCCAUUCCGCAAGGAAGUAAGACCCCAGGAAGACUACCUGGUAGAUAGGUCGGAGGUGUAAGUGCAGCAAUGUAUUAAGCUGACCGAUACUAAUAGGUCGAGGACUUGACCAA
Molecule: ribosomal RNA, 2993 nt
Filed under: Anaerovirgula multivorans
Lineage: Bacteria; Bacillati; Bacillota; Clostridia; Peptostreptococcales; Natronincolaceae
Description: bacterial LSU rRNA
Rfam family: Bacterial large subunit ribosomal RNA
Source: RNAcentral